GAUGAACGCUGGCGGCGUGCCUAAUACAUGCAAGUCGAGCGAACAGAUGAGGAGCUUGCUCCUCUGACGUUAGCGGCGGACGGGUGAGUACCACGUGGAUAACCUACCUAUAAGACUGGGAUAACUUCGGGAAACCGGAGCUAAUACCGGAUAAUAUAUUGAACCGCAUGGUUCAAUAGUGAAAGACGGUUUUGCUGUCACUUAUAGAUGGUUCCGCGCCGCAUUAGCUAGUUGGUACGGUAACGGCUUACCAAGGCAACGAGGCGUAGCCGACCUGGGAGGUGGAUCGGCCACACUGGAACUGAGACACGGGCCAGACUCCUACGGGAGGAAGCAGUAGGGAAUCUUCCGCAAUGGGCGAAAGCCUGACGGAGCAACGCCGCGUGAGUGAUGAAGGUCUUCGGAUCUUAAAACUCUGUUAUUAGGGAAGAACAAAUGUGUAAGUAACUAUGCACGUCUUGACGGUACCUAAUCAGAAAGCCACGGCUAACUACGUG
This 497-nucleotide ribosomal RNA is filed under the name uncultured bacterium. RNAcentral's name for it is "partial 16S ribosomal RNA". It matches the Rfam family "Bacterial small subunit ribosomal RNA", at positions 28 to 507 of the family's 1533-position model. The record is from RNAcentral.